AUUGAACGCUGGCGGCAGGCCUAACACAUGCAAGUCGAGCGGAUGAGAGGAGCUUGCUCUUCGAUUCAGCGGCGGACGGGUGAGUAAUGCCUAGGAAUCUGCCUAGUAGUGGGGGACAACGUUUCGAAAGGAACGCUAAUACCGCAUACGUCCUACGGGAGAAAGUGGGGGAUCUUCGGACCUCACGCCAUUAGAUGAGCCUAGGUCGGAUUAGCUAGUUGGAAGGGGAACGGCCUACCAAGGCGACGAUCCGUAACUGGUCUGAGAGGAUGAUCAGUCACACUGGAACUGAGACACGGUCCAGACUCCUACGGGAGGCAGCAGUGGGGAAUAUUGGACAAUGGGCGAAAGCCUGAUCCAGCCAUGCCGCGUGUGUGAAGAAGGCCCUCGGGUCGUAAAGCACUUUAAGUUGGGAGGAAGGGCUUACAGCGAAUACCUGUGAGUUUUGACGUUACCGACAGAAUAAGCACCGGCUAACUUCGUGCCAGCAGCCGCCGUAA
RNAcentral lists this ribosomal RNA (500 nucleotides) under uncultured bacterium. RNAcentral describes it as "partial 16S ribosomal RNA". It matches the Rfam family "Bacterial small subunit ribosomal RNA", at positions 30 to 523 of the family's 1533-position model. The record is from RNAcentral.